Molecule: ribosomal RNA, 489 nt
Filed under: uncultured bacterium
Lineage: Bacteria
Description: bacterial SSU rRNA
Rfam family: Bacterial small subunit ribosomal RNA
Source: RNAcentral
CCUACGGGAGGCAGCAGUAAGGAAUAUUGGUCAAUGGAGGCAACUCUGAACCAGCCAUGCCGCGUGCAGGAUGACGGCCCUAUGGGUUGUAAACUGCUUUUAUACAAGAGAAAACCCUGGUACGUGUACCAGGUUGAUAGUAUUGUAAGAAUAAGCAUCGGCUAACUUCGUGCCAGCAGCCGCGGUAAGACGAAGGAUGCAAGCGUUAUCCGGAUUCAUUGGGUUUAAAGGGUGCGUAGGCGGACUGAUAAGUCAGUGGUGAAAUCUCUUUGCUUAACAAAGAAACUGCCAUUGAUACUGUCGGUCUAGAGUAUAGAUGACGUUGCGGAAUAUGACAUGUAGUGGUGAAAUACUUAGAUAUGUCAUAGAACACCGAUUGCGAAGGCAGCUAACGAAACUAUAACUGACGCUGAGGCACGAAAGUNCGGGGAUCAAACAGGAUUAGAUACCCUGGUAGUCCGCACCGUAAACGAUANAUACUCGUGUUGU